UUAAGCGACUAAGCGUACACGGUGGAUGCCCUGGCAGUCAGAGGCGAUGAAGGACGUGCUAAUCUGCGAAAAGCGUCGGUAAGGUGAUAUGAACCGUUAUAACCGGCGAUGUCCGAAUGGGGAAACCCAGUGCAAUUCGUUGCACUAUCGUUAACUGAAUACAUAGGUUAACGAGGCGAACCGGGGGAACUGAAACAUCUAAGUACCCCGAGGAAAAGAAAUCAACCGAGAUUCCCCCAGUAGCGGCGAGCGAACGGGGAGCAGCCCAGAGUCUGAAUCAGCUUGUGUGUUAGUGGAACGGUCUGGAAAGUCCGACGGUACAGGGUGAUAGUCCCGUACACCAAAAUGCACAGGUUGUGAACUCGAAGAGUAGGGCGGGACACGUGGUAUCCUGUCUGAAUAUGGGGGGACCAUCCUCCAAGGCUAAAUACUCCUGACUGACCGAUAGUGAACCAGUACCGUGAGGGAAAGGCGAAAAGAACCCCGGCGAGGGGAGUGAAAAAGAACCUGAAACCGUGUACGUACAAGCAGUGGGAGCACCUUUAUGGUGUGACUGCGUACCUUUUGUAUAAUGGGUCAGCGACUUAUAUUCUGUAGCAAGGUUAACCGUAUAGGGGAGCCGCAGGGAAACCGAGUCUUAACUGGGCGUUAAGUUGCAGGGUAUAGACCCGAAACCCGGUGAUCUAGCCAUGGGCAGGUUGAAGGUUGGGUAACACUAACUGGAGGACCGAACCGACUAAUGUUGAAAAAUUAGCGGAUGACUUGUGGCUGGGGGUGAAAGGCCAAUCAAACCGGGAGAUAGCUGGUUCUCCCCGAAAGCUAUUUAGGUAGCGCCUCGUGAAUUCAUCUUCGGGGGUAGAGCACUGUUUCGGCUAGGGGGUCAUCCCGACUUACCAACCCGAUGCAAACUACGAAUACCGAAGAAUGUUAUCACGGGAGACACACGGCGGGUGCUAACGUCCGUCGUGAAGAGGGAAACAACCCAGACCGCCAGCUAAGGUCCCAAAGUCAUGGUUAAGUGGGAAACGAUGUGGGAAGGCACAGACAGCCAGGAUGUUGGCUUAGAAGCAGCCAUCAUUUAAAGAAAGCGUAAUAGCUCACUGGUCGAGUCGGCCUGCGCGGAAGAUGUAACGGGGCUAAACCAUGCACCGAAGCUGCGGCAGCGACACUAUGUGUUGUUGGGUAGGGGAGCGUUCUGUAAGCCUGCGAAGGUGACCUGUGAGGGUUGCUGGAGGUAUCAGAAGUGCGAAUGCUGACAUAAGUAACGAUAAAGCGGGUGAAAAGCCCGCUCGCCGGAAGACCAAGGGUUCCUGUCCAACGUUAAUCGGGGCAGGGUGAGUCGACCCCUAAGGCGAGGCCGAAAGGCGUAGUCGAUGGGAAACAGGUUAAUAUUCCUGUACUUGGUGUUACUGCGAAGGGGGGACGGAGAAGGCUAUGUUAGCCGGGCGACGGUUGUCCCGGUUUAAGCAUGUAGGCUGGUUAUCCAGGCAAAUCCGGAUAAUCAAGGCUGAGGUGUGAUGACGAAGCACUACGGUGCUGAAGUAACAAAUGCCCUGCUUCCAGGAAAAGCCUCUAAGCAUCAGGUAACAUCAAAUCGUACCCCAAACCGACACAGGUGGUCAGGUAGAGAAUACCAAGGCGCUUGAGAGAACUCGGGUGAAGGAACUAGGCAAAAUGGUGCCGUAACUUCGGGAGAAGGCACGCUGGUGUGUAGGUGAAGCCCCUGCGGGUGGAGCUGAGACCAGUCGAAGAUACCAGCUGGCUGCAACUGUUUAUUAAAAACACAGCACUGUGCAAACACGAAAGUGGACGUAUACGGUGUGACGCCUGCCCGGUGCCGGAAGGUUAAUUGAUGGGGUUAUCCGUAAGGAGAAGCUCUUGAUCGAAGCCCCGGUAAACGGCGGCCGUAACUAUAACGGUCCUAAGGUAGCGAAAUUCCUUGUCGGGUAAGUUCCGACCUGCACGAAUGGCGUAAUGAUGGCCAGGCUGUCUCCACCCGAGACUCAGUGAAAUUGAACUCGCUGUGAAGAUGCAGUGUACCCGCGGCAAGACGGAAAGACCCCGUGAACCUUUACUAUAGCUUGACACUGAACAUUGAGCCUUGAUGUGUAGGAUAGGUGGGAGGCUUUGAAGCGUGGACGCCAGUCUGCGUGGAGCCAACCUUGAAAUACCACCCUUUAAUGUUUGAUGUUCUAACGUUGGCCCCUUAUCGGGGUUGCGGACAGUGUCUGGUGGGUAGUUUGACUGGGGCGGUCUCCUCCCAAAGCGUAACGGAGGAGCACGAAGGUUAGCUAAUCCUGGUCGGACAUCAGGAGGUUAGUGCAAUGGCAUAAGCUAGCUUGACUGCGAGCGUGACGGCGCGAGCAGGUGCGAAAGCAGGUCAUAGUGAUCCGGUGGUUCUGAAUGGAAGGGCCAUCGCUCAACGGAUAAAAGGUACUCCGGGGAUAACAGGCUGAUACCGCCCAAGAGUUCAUAUCGACGGCGGUGUUUGGCACCUCGAUGUCGGCUCAUCACAUCCUGGGGCUGAAGUAGGUCCCAAGGGUAUGGCUGUUCGCCAUUUAAAGUGGUACGCGAGCUGGGUUUAGAACGUCGUGAGACAGUUCGGUCCCUAUCUGCCGUGGGCGCUGGAGAAUUGAGGGGGGCUGCUCCUAGUACGAGAGGACCGGAGUGGACGCAUCACUGGUGUUCGGGUUGUCAUGCCAAUGGCACUGCCCGGUAGCUAAAUGCGGAAGAGAUAAGUGCUGAAAGCAUCUAAGCACGAAACUUGCCCCGAGAUGAGUUCUCCCUGAGACUUUAAGUCUCCUGAAGGAACGUUAAAGACGAUGACGUUGAUAGGCCGGGUGUGUAAGCGCAGCGAUGCGUUGAGCUAACCGGUACUAAUGAACCGUGAGGCUUAACCUU
This 2901-nucleotide ribosomal RNA is filed under the name Klebsiella pneumoniae. RNAcentral's name for it is "bacterial LSU rRNA". It matches the Rfam family "Bacterial large subunit ribosomal RNA". The record is from RNAcentral. RNAcentral also lists the same sequence under 1 other name. Lineage: Bacteria; Pseudomonadati; Pseudomonadota; Gammaproteobacteria; Enterobacterales; Enterobacteriaceae.